Long non-coding RNA from Amphiprion ocellaris (clown anemonefish), 312 nucleotides. The record is from Ensembl. Lineage: Eukaryota; Metazoa; Chordata; Actinopteri; Pomacentridae.
GUUGUGUACAGACUUAAUUACUUCUCUGUCUACUUUUCUUACUCCAUGUAGGUUUCCCAGAGACUAUGGGUUGAGGAGGAAUUGGAAGUUUGUCGGCUUAGACCUGGUGUCAUUCCAUCAGUGUUAAACUUCCCGGCUCAUCUUGGAAGAGUACGUGCCAGAAAGACCACGACCAAGCAGCCUUGAGAUCUUAGGCAGCGUCUCCCUGAGACCAAAGAACUACAGACUCUUCACAACCUGCUCAAACUCUUGGUACAGGACCUCACCACACGGGUCAAGAAGGUUUCCGUCUCAUUUCUACUCUGAAGCUCA